This 254-nucleotide ribosomal RNA is filed under the name uncultured bacterium. RNAcentral's name for it is "partial 16S ribosomal RNA". It matches the Rfam family "Bacterial small subunit ribosomal RNA", at positions 524 to 776 of the family's 1533-position model. The record is from RNAcentral.
CACGUAGGGUGCGAGCGUUGUCCGGAAUUAUUGGGCGUAAAGAGCUCGUAGGCGGUGUGUCGCGUCGGCCGUGAAAACCUGCAGCUUAACUGUGGGCUUGCGGUCGAUACGGGCAUCACUGGAGUUCGGCAGGGGAGACUGGAAUUCCUGGUGUAGCGGUGAAAUGCGCAGAUAUCAGGAGGACCACCGGUGGCGAAGGCGGGUCUCUGGGCCGAUACUGACGCUGAGGAGCGAAAGCGUGGGGAGCGAACAGG